Molecule: ribosomal RNA, 305 nt
Filed under: uncultured bacterium
Lineage: Bacteria
Description: bacterial SSU rRNA
Rfam family: Bacterial small subunit ribosomal RNA
Source: RNAcentral
UCACCCUACGGGGGGCAGCAGUGGGGAAUAUUGCGCAAUGGGCGAAAGCCUGACGCAGCGACGCCGCGGGAGGGAUGAAGGGCUUCGGAUCGUAAACCUCUGUCAGCAGGGAAGAACGGUCACUGUGCUAAUCAGCAGUGAAUUGACGGUACCUGCAAAGGAAGCACCGGCUAACUCCGUGCCAGCAGCCGCGGGAAUACGGAGGGGGCGAGCGUUAAUCGGAAUUAUUGGGCGUAAAGCGCUCGUAGGCGGUAUGUCAAGUGAAGGGGGAAAGCCCCGCGUCCAACGUGGGACCGGCUCUUGAA